This 505-nucleotide ribosomal RNA is filed under the name uncultured bacterium. RNAcentral describes it as "partial 16S ribosomal RNA". It matches the Rfam family "Bacterial small subunit ribosomal RNA", at positions 28 to 507 of the family's 1533-position model. The record is from RNAcentral.
GACGAACGCUGGCGGCGUGCCUAAUACAUGCAAGUCGAACGCACAGUUUAUACCGUAGCUUGCUACACCAUAGACUGUGAGUUGCGAACGGGUGAGUAACGCGUAGGUAACCUGCCUGGUAGCGGGGGAUAACUAUUGGAAACGAUAGCUAAUACCGCAUAAUAUUGAUUAUUGCAUGAUAAUUGAUUGAAAUAUGCUAUUGCAUCACUACCAGAUGGACCUGCGUUGUAUUAGCUAGUAGGUGAGGUAACGGCUCACCUAGGCGACGAUACAUAGCCGACCUGAGAGGGUGAUCGGCCACACUGGGACUGAGACACGGCCCAGACUCCUACGGGAGGCAGCAGUAGGGAAUCUUCGGCAAUGGACGAAAGUCUGACCGAGCAACGCCGCGUGAGUGAAGAAGGUUGUCGGAUCGUAAAGCUCUGUUGUAAGAGAAGAACGGGUGUGAGAGUGGAAAGUUCACACUGUGACGGUAGCUUACCAGAAAGGGACGGCUAACUACGUG